UAGGGAAUCUUCCACAAUGGACGCAAGUCUGAUGGAGCAACGCCGCGUGAGUGAAGAAGGUUUUCGGACCGUAAAGCUCUGUUGUUGGUGAAGAAGGAUAGAGGUAGUAACUGGCCUUUAUUUGACGGUAAUCAACCAGAAAGUCACGGCUAACUACGUGCCAGCAGCCGCGGUAAUACGUAGGUGGCAAGCGUUGUCCGGAUUUAUUGGGCGUAAAGCGAGCGCAGGCGGAAGAAUAAGUCUGAUGUGAAAGCCCUCGGCUUAACCGAGGAAUUGCAUCGGAAACUGUUUUCUUGAGUGCAGAAGAGGAGAGUAGAACUCCAUGUGUGGCGGUGGAAUGCGUAGAUAUAUGGAAGAAUACCAGUGGCGAAGGCGGCUCUCUGGUCUGCAACUGACGCUGAGGCUCGAAAGCAUGGGUAGCGAACAGGAUUAGAUACCCUGGUAGUCCAUGCCGUAAACGAUGAGUGCUAAGUGUUGGGAGGCUUCCGCCUCUCAGUGCUGCAGCUAACGCAUUAAGCACUCCGCCUGGGGGAGUACGACCGCAAGGUUGAAAC
RNAcentral lists this ribosomal RNA (554 nucleotides) under uncultured bacterium. Its description in RNAcentral is "partial 16S ribosomal RNA". It matches the Rfam family "Bacterial small subunit ribosomal RNA", at positions 355 to 900 of the family's 1533-position model. The record is from RNAcentral.